This 388-nucleotide ribosomal RNA is filed under the name uncultured bacterium. RNAcentral's name for it is "bacterial SSU rRNA". It matches the Rfam family "Bacterial small subunit ribosomal RNA", at positions 30 to 416 of the family's 1533-position model. The record is from RNAcentral.
AUUGAACGCUGGCGGCAUGCCUUACACAUGCAAGUCGAACGGCAGCACGGGGGCAACCCUGGUGGCGAGUGGCGAACGGGUGAGUAAUACAUCGGAAUGUACCCAGUAGUGGGGGGAUAACUAGUCGAAAGAUUAGCUAAUACCGCAUACGCACUAUGGUGGAAAGCGGGGGGAUCGCAAGACCUCGCGCUAUUGGAGCAGCCGAUGUCCGAUUAGGUAGUUGGUGGGGUAAAAGCCUACCAAGCCUGCGAUCGGUAACUGGUCUGAGAGGACGACCAGUCACACUGGGACUGAGACACGGCCCAGACUCCUACGGGAGGCAGCAGUGGGGAAUUUUGGACAAUGGGGGAAACCCUGAUCCAGCAAUGCCGCGUGUGUGACGAAGGCC